CGUUGAAACACCGGUUCUCGUACGAUCAGCGAAAUUAAGCAACGUCGAACAUAGUCAGUACCUAGAUGGGUGACUGCUUACGAACAGCAGGUGCUGUAAG
Acanthosepion pharaonis is the source of this 100-nucleotide non-coding RNA. The record is from the annotation of a GenBank genome assembly. Lineage: Eukaryota; Metazoa; Mollusca; Cephalopoda; Sepiida; Sepiidae.